CAGUAGCCACGGGAAUACGGAGGAUCCAAGCGUUAUCCGGAAUCAUUGGGUUUAAAGGGUCCGUAGGCGGUCUUGUAAGUCAGUGGUGAAAGCCCACCGCUCAACGGUGGAACGGCCAUUGAUACUGCAGGACUUGAAUUAUUGGGAAGUAACUAGAAUAUGUAGUGUAGCGGUGAAAUGCUUAGAGAUUACAUGGAAUACCAAUUGCGAAGGCAGGUUACUACCAAUUGAUUGACGCUGAUGGACGAAAGCGUGGGUAGCGAACAGGAUUAGAUACCCGAGUAGUCCCUGUCUCUUAUAC
This 301-nucleotide ribosomal RNA is filed under the name uncultured bacterium. Its description in RNAcentral is "partial 16S ribosomal RNA". It matches the Rfam family "Bacterial small subunit ribosomal RNA", at positions 509 to 807 of the family's 1533-position model. The record is from RNAcentral.